RNAcentral lists this ribosomal RNA (503 nucleotides) under Amycolatopsis marina. Its description in RNAcentral is "bacterial SSU rRNA". It matches the Rfam family "Bacterial small subunit ribosomal RNA", at positions 240 to 754 of the family's 1533-position model. The record is from RNAcentral. Lineage: Bacteria; Bacillati; Actinomycetota; Actinomycetes; Pseudonocardiales; Pseudonocardiaceae.
AUCGGCUUGUUGGUGGGGUAGUGGCCUACCAAGGCGUCGACGGGUGCCGGCCUGAGAGGGCGACCGGCCACACUGGGACUGAGACACGGCCCAGACUCCUACGGGAGGCAGCAGUGGGGAAUAUUGCACAAUGGGCGCAAGCCUGAUGCAGCGACGCCGCGUGAGGGAUGACGGCCUUCGGGUUGUAAACCUCUUUCGCCAGGGACGAAGCCGUAAGGUGACGGUACCUGGAUAAGAAGCACCGGCUAACUACGUGCCAGCAGCCGCGGUAAUACGUAGGGUGCGAGCGUUGUCCGGAAUUAUUGGGCGUAAAGAGCUCGUAGGCGGUUUGUCGCGUCGGCCGUGAAAACUGGAGGCUUAACCUUCAGCUUGCGGUCGAUACGGGCAGACUUGAGUUCGGUAGGGGAGACUGGAAUUCCUGGUGUAGCGGUGGAAUGCGCAGAUAUCAGGAGGAACACCGGUGGCGAAGGCGGGUCUCUGGGCCGAUACUGACGCUGAGGAGC